This 617-nucleotide ribosomal RNA is filed under the name uncultured bacterium. RNAcentral's name for it is "bacterial SSU rRNA". It matches the Rfam family "Bacterial small subunit ribosomal RNA", at positions 9 to 622 of the family's 1533-position model. The record is from RNAcentral.
GAGUUUGAUCCUGGCUCAGGAUGAACGCUAGCGGCAGGCCUAAUACAUGCAAGUCGAACGGCAAGAGUUUUAGCAAUAGAACUUCUAGAGUGGCGAACGGGUGCGUAACGCGUAUGCAACCUACCCUAUACAGGGGGAUAGCCCGGAGAAAUCUGGAUUAAUACCCCAUGGUAUCAUUGAGCUGCAUGGUUUAAUGAUUAAAGAUUCAUCGGUAUAGGAUGGGCAUGCGUCUGAUUAGCUAGUUGGUGGGGUAACGGCUCACCAAGGCGACGAUCAGUAGGGGUUCUGAGAGGAAGGUCCCCCACACUGGCACUGAGAUACGGGCCAGACUCCUACGGGAGGCAGCAGUAGGGAAUAUUGGGCAAUGGACGAGAGUCUGACCCAGCCAUGCCGCGUGCAGGAAGACGGCGUUCUGCGUUGUAAACUGCUUUUAUCUGGGAAGAAAAUGCCCUUGCGAGGGAAAUUGCCGGUACCAGAUGAAUAAGCACCGGCUAACUCCGUGCCAGCAGCCGCGGUAAUACGGAGGGUGCAAGCGUUGUCCGGAUUUAUUGGGUUUAAAGGGUGCGUAGGCGGCUUUUUAAGUCAGUGGUGAAAGUUUUGGGCUCAACCCAGAAACU